Molecule: non-coding RNA, 367 nt
Organism: Coturnix japonica (Japanese quail)
Lineage: Eukaryota; Metazoa; Chordata; Aves; Galliformes; Phasianidae
Source: RefSeq, a predicted model, not a curated record
CCAGCUGCCCCCCCCAACUUCUUGGAGCCCCUCGGAGCCCCCCCCGGCCCAGUGACCCCUCUGCACCUCUGCACCCCCAGCCCCUGCUCAUGGGAUGAUGGAUGUUAUGGCAGCAGCCCCCUCCCACUUCCAUGGCAGCCUAUGGAGGGUCCCCCCGUGGCCCUUCUGCCCCCCUUCCCCCACCCCACAUCUAUGAGCAUGGUGGGCAAUGGGGGGCUGCAGCUCGGGGGUCCUGGGCCAUGCACUGCAGGAGGAGCGUGCAUGGGUUCACGUUGAUCUGAAGACGCUGCACCAACAAGUCACUGCCCUGGAUGGUCCCACGCUUUGUUGUUUGCUCUGAAUUAAAAGGUUUUGGGGGUUUUGUUGA